This 48-nucleotide transfer RNA is filed under the name Retanilla trinervia. Its description in RNAcentral is "partial tRNA-Phe". Lineage: Eukaryota; Viridiplantae; Streptophyta; Magnoliopsida; Rosales; Rhamnaceae. The record is from RNAcentral. RNAcentral also lists the same sequence under 2 other names.
CGGGAUAGCUCAGCUGGUAGAGCAGAGGACUGAAAAUCCUCGUGUCAC